GACGAACGCUGGCGGCGUGCCUAACACAUGCAAGUCAAAGGGAAGCAACUUCGGUUGUAAGUACUUGGCGCAAGGGUGAGUAAUGUAUAGGUAAUCUGCCCUUUGGACUGGGAUAACCCCGAGAAAUCGGGGACAAUACCAGAUGAAGCAGCGGAGCCACAUGGUUCUGCUGUUAAAUGAUUUAUCGCCAAAGGAUGAGCCUGUAUCCCAUCAGGUAGUUGGUAAGGUAAUGGCUUACCAAGCCUACGACGGGUAGCUGGUCUGAGAGGAUGAUCAGCCACAUUGGAACUGAGACACGGUCCAGACUCCUACGGGAGGCUG
This 321-nucleotide ribosomal RNA is filed under the name uncultured Chlorobiota bacterium. Its description in RNAcentral is "bacterial SSU rRNA". It matches the Rfam family "Bacterial small subunit ribosomal RNA", at positions 28 to 351 of the family's 1533-position model. The record is from RNAcentral. Lineage: Bacteria; Pseudomonadati; Chlorobiota.